RNAcentral lists this ribosomal RNA (254 nucleotides) under uncultured bacterium. RNAcentral describes it as "partial 16S ribosomal RNA". It matches the Rfam family "Bacterial small subunit ribosomal RNA", at positions 526 to 779 of the family's 1533-position model. The record is from RNAcentral.
CGGAAGGUCCGGGCGUUAUCCGGAUUUAUUGGGUUUAAAGGGAGCGUAGGCUGUCUAUUAAGCGUGUUGUGAAAUUUACCGGCUCAACCGGUGGCUUGCAGCGCGAACUGGUCGACUUGAGUAUGCAGGAAGUAGGCGGAAUUCAUGGUGUAGCGGUGAAAUGCUUAGAUAUCAUGACGAACUCCGAUUGCGCAGGCAGCUUACUGUAGCAUAACUGACGCUGAUGCUCGAAAGUGCGGGUAUCAAACAGGAUU